Molecule: ribosomal RNA, 305 nt
Filed under: uncultured bacterium
Lineage: Bacteria
Description: bacterial SSU rRNA
Rfam family: Bacterial small subunit ribosomal RNA
Source: RNAcentral
CCCUACGGGGCGCAGCAGUGAGGAAUAUUGGUCAAUGGUCGGGAGACUGAACCAGCCAAGCCGCGUGAGGGAGGAAGGUACAGUGUAUCGUAAACCUCUUUUGUCAGGGAACAAAGGCGGGGACGUGUCCCCGGAUGAGUGUACCUGAAGAAAAAGCAUCGGCUAACUCCGUGCCAGCAGCCGCGGUAAUACGGAGGAUGCGAGCGUUAUCCGGAUUUAUUGGGUUUAAAGGGUGCGCAGGCGGUCUGUUAAGUCAGCGGUCAAAGCCCGGGGCUCAACCCCGGCCCGCCCUUGAAACCUGCAGU